This 72-nucleotide microRNA precursor is filed under the name Branchiostoma lanceolatum (amphioxus). RNAcentral's name for it is "Bla-Mir-96-P2k_pre stem-loop". Lineage: Eukaryota; Metazoa; Chordata; Leptocardii; Amphioxiformes; Branchiostomatidae. The record is from RNAcentral.
CUUGGCACUUGAGGAAUUCUUUGUCCCCUAGGUUCAGUUUUGAUCAAUCAAAGAAUUCCCCAGUACUGAGGG